Molecule: transfer RNA, 63 nt
Filed under: Limnogonus nitidus
Lineage: Eukaryota; Metazoa; Arthropoda; Insecta; Hemiptera; Gerridae
Also listed under: 2 other names
Description: tRNA-Cys
Source: RNAcentral
GGUUUUAUAGUCAAUUUUAUGAUAUUAGACUGCAAUUCUAAAGUAGUAUUUAUACUAAAACCU